AUUGAACGCUGGCGGUAUGCUUAACACAUGCAAGUCGAACGGUAGCAGGCCUUCGGGCGCUGACGAGUGGCGGACGGGUGAGUAACGCGUAGGAAUCUGCCUCAUAGUGGGGGACAACGUGUGGAAACGCACGCUAAUACCGCAUACGCUCUUUGUUCUAAGGGAUGGGGAGGAAAGCGGGGGACCGUAAGGCCUCGCGCUAUGAGAUGAGCCUGCGUUAGAUUAGCUAGUUGGUGGGGUAAAGGCCUACCAAGGCGACGAUCUAUAGCUGGUCUGAGAGGACGAUCAGCCACACUGGGACUGAGACACGGCCCAGACUCCUACGGGAGGCAG
Molecule: ribosomal RNA, 333 nt
Filed under: uncultured Pseudomonadota bacterium
Lineage: Bacteria; Pseudomonadati; Pseudomonadota
Description: bacterial SSU rRNA
Rfam family: Bacterial small subunit ribosomal RNA
Source: RNAcentral